CAAAAUGGAAAGAAACAGAAAAUUGAAAUUGCUCUUCAUCUACUAAGUGGUGUCCUGGAAGAACCAACACAAAAGGCUUAUUUCCUUUCAUCUGACUUGGAGUUCAACCAGUGCUAAAAACUUCUCCCUGAGGAGCAUUUCUGGAAAACAUUUACUGGCAAAUGUUUUAACAUUCCAGCUGCCUGAGGAAAUUAUUUACAGUUGGGGAAAACAAUAGACUAAGCAAAAUGAAUAAAAGGAAAAAGUGAGAAAUAAAAUGUCCAGAAGGGCUUUGAAAAGCUCCAACAUGAUUCUUCAUAAUCUAAAAGGACACCUGCAUGUGUAGGAUUGUAUGCAUUCCCCAAACAGUCGGAUUGCUUAGGAAAGACCUGAGAGGGCCUUAAGCUCUCACUUCUGUCUGACCUUGAGGCUCUGUGCAAGUAAGGGAAGCCCAUGGCAAAAUGGUAUACUGAUUGGCUGAAUGUUGAAGAUGUGUCCCAACAGCAACACAGAACUCCUUAGCAACAACUGAGAGAUUUAUUUGUUCCAGGCAAUUAAGGUAAUCUCUGUCCAAUUAUCAGCUGGCCUCUAAGCUAAUGGAGCUGAGACUUCAUUGAUAAAGAAUAUACACUCUGCAGAGUUACUUCAGGAAAGUCAGUAAACAAUAACUACCACAAUAAAUAGUGAAAACAGCCAAUCCUGAGGAAUGAUGAGAAUCUAAUUUCCAGAGUUACUACAUUAUAAUAUUUAAAUUGUCCAAGUUGCAAUAAAAAUAUAUGAGAAUUUCAAAGAAAUAUGAAUGUAUGGCUCUUACAUAGGAAAAGAAGUAAUCAGUAGAAACUGUCUCUGUGAAAACGUAGAUAUUUGGCUUACUGGAAAAAGACUUUAAAUAAGUGAUUUAAAAUACGUUCAAUGAACUGAAGGUAAAUAUGUGGUAUAUCCAUAGAAUUGAAUAUUAUGAAGACAUAAAAAAAGAUGAAGUGAGGUCCACUUUUGGCAUGACCACGUGAAGAACUCCACAGAUUUACUUUCCACGAAAACUAGUGGAAAUUAUAGAAGAACAAUAAUUUAAACUUUCUGAAAAUGGUCCUGGAGACAUGCAAAAUAUGAAGAAACAUUUGUUCAAGGAAAUCUAGUAGAGCUCAGUAAGAACAGUGAGAGUCUAUGGUGUUUGAACCAUAACCCAUUCUGUUCCUCCCCAUUCCCAAUGCAGGAAGAUGGAAACUUCACUCAGAUUGGUAGAGCUAAUGCACAAGGUUCCCCUUAUCCCCAGUUCCCAGUCAAGGAUUUAUAUUCCUAGGAGAGACACAGCAUCAGCAUUUUUCAUCCUACUACCAGCUACCUGCUGCUGAGGAUAAUAUCUGGGUAAGUGUAGCUGAGAAGCGGGCACUCUACUUUUCUACUUGAUCUCUACUCAUACAGUAGAAGCUCCAGCUUGGGUAUGGUGCUGCUGAAAAUACUGGGUCCCGAAUUGCCAUUUUCCCACCUGAUAAGACAGGGGUUCAUGUCAAGAGAAGCAAGCCUAAAGACCUAUGGCUACGGCCUAGCCCUUUCACUUAGCACUCAAAUUCUAGAUUGGGACUACUACUCAGAGAGAAGAACACCAUUACACAUCUACAUAUCUAGGAAAGUCAAUUAACUAAAAGUUGGAAAAAUACAAAGAGAUCCACAGAUAAACUAGUCAAAAUACUGAAAGCCAAAUACAUGGAGAAAAAUUUGGGAGCAACAAGGGUAAAGGGCCCAUCACUUACAAUAGAACCACAAUGAAAUAAACAGCUGGCUUUUAUUUAUUUAUUUAUUUAUUUUUUAGAGUCUCACUCUGUCGCCCAGGCUGGAGUGCAGUGGUGUGACCUUGGCUCACUGCAACCUCUGCCUCCUGGGUUCAAGCAAUUCUCCUGCCUCAGCCUCCCAAGUAGCUGGGAUUACUGGCGCCCGCCAGUACACCCAGCUAAUUUUUUUAGUAGACCCAGGGUUUCACCACGUUGACCAGGCUGGUCUCGAACUCCUGACAUCGUGAUUUGCCCACCUCGGCCUCCCAAAGUGCUGGGAUUACAGGCAUGAGGCACCGCGCCCGGCCAACAGCUGGCUUUUAAUCAGAAACAAUGGAGGGUGGAAAGUGAUGGGAUAGCAUAUUCAAAAAUGCCUAAUGAAGAAAAACAAAAUGUCAACCAAGGAUCCUAUAUCCAGCAAAGCUAUUUUUAAAAACAAAAGCAACAUAAGCACAUUCCCUGAGAGAAUUUUGCUAGCAGACCUGCCUUCCAAAAAAUACUAAAUGAAGUUCUUGAGCUGAAGGCAAGUGACCCCAGGCAAUAAUACCAAUAUAAAAAUACAAAGAAUAUCUAUAAAGAAAUUUUUAAUUAUAGAAGACAGUAUAAAUGCAUACAUUUCUCCUUUCUUGGCUGAUUUUAAAAGCAAUUGUAUAAAAAAGUGUACAAUUGUGAAAGUUGCCAUAAUCAAAAUGGAUUCAUUAAUAUUAAUGAAACCCUGACAAAUAGAGCCAGGAAAGGCCGUGAAGAGAGCGUUCUCAUGUUGGUAUAUCUGAUAACACAACUAUCACAAAAGUCUGCAGAAAGCAUUACAACUUCACACAAAAAAAUACCUCUACAGCGUCAUCUACCCAGCAACUACCUGUCUAACCUCAGACUGGCAUCAUUCUUGUUAUUAAUCUUUGUAGACAAGAAUAACUAUUUCAAAACAAUUAUGUAAUCCGUCUGAUUUUUUCCUUUAAAAGACUUUGUCUUUGUUCAUCUAAUUAAAUAUGCACAUUUUUUACUAUGGCAUGCAUAUUCCCAUUGCAAUGCUGUAUCCCCAAAUAAACAUCUUUUCUUUUAGAG
RNAcentral lists this long non-coding RNA (2813 nucleotides) under Homo sapiens (human). RNAcentral's name for it is "HSALNT0285494". The record is from RNAcentral. Lineage: Eukaryota; Metazoa; Chordata; Mammalia; Primates; Hominidae.